Sinocyclocheilus grahami is the source of this 258-nucleotide long non-coding RNA. RefSeq lists it as uncharacterized. The transcript is spliced from 4 exons. The record is from RefSeq and is a predicted model, not a curated record. NCBI's taxonomy places the organism in Eukaryota, Metazoa, Chordata, Actinopteri, Cypriniformes, Cyprinidae.
GAAAGCUUCAAAUGCGAACACGUGUCUCAACUGUACGGCUUUCUUUUGCAGCUGUGUCGACCACGAUGACCAUGAAUGGCGUGGGCUCAUGGGAAGUUUCCGUGCCAUCUGCUGGGAUGAGUAGAUCAAGAUCGGUUAAAUUCAAGGCCUCCUUCACAUGAACUUUGAGAGCAUGAUGACCAUGGGUUGUGUUUGUAGUGUUGGCACAAUGAGCUCUCACCAAAGACCUGGAACUCCCAAGGUACUUCUGUCGUUAGU